Molecule: ribosomal RNA, 973 nt
Filed under: Escherichia coli
Lineage: Bacteria; Pseudomonadati; Pseudomonadota; Gammaproteobacteria; Enterobacterales; Enterobacteriaceae
Description: partial 23S ribosomal RNA
Rfam family: Bacterial large subunit ribosomal RNA
Source: RNAcentral
UCCUAAGGUAGCGAAAUUCCUUGUCGGGUAAGUUCCGACCUGCACGAAUGGCGUAAUGAUGGCCAGGCUGUCUCCACCCGAGACUCAGUGAAAUUGAACUCGCUGUGAAGAUGCAGUGUACCCGCGGCAAGACGGAAAGACCCCGUGAACCUUUACUAUAGCUUGACACUGAACAUUGAGCCUUGAUGUGUAGGAUAGGUGGGAGGCUUUGAAGUGUGGACGCCAGUCUGCAUGGAGCCGACCUUGAAAUACCACCCUUUAAUGUUUGAUGUUCUAACGUUGACCCGUAAUCCGGGUUGCGGACAGUGUCUGGUGGGUAGUUUGACUGGGGCGGUCUCCUCCUAAAGAGUAACGGAGGAGCACGAAGGUUGGCUAAUCCUGGUCGGACAUCAGGAGGUUAGUGCAAUGGCAUAAGCCAGCUUGACUGCGAGCGUGACGGCGCGAGCAGGUGCGAAAGCAGGUCAUAGUGAUCCGGUGGUUCUGAAUGGAAGGGCCAUCGCUCAACGGAUAAAAGGUACUCCGGGGAUAACAGGCUGAUACCGCCCAAGAGUUCAUAUCGACGGCGGUGUUUGGCACCUCGAUGUCGGCUCAUCACAUCCUGGGGCUGAAGUAGGUCCCAAGGGUAUGGCUGUUCGCCAUUUAAAGUGGUACGCGAGCUGGGUUUAGAACGUCGUGAGACAGUUCGGUCCCUAUCUGCCGUGGGCGCUGGAGAACUGAGGGGGGCUGCUCCUAGUACGAGAGGACCGGAGUGGACGCAUCACUGGUGUUCGGGUUGUCAUGCCAAUGGCACUGCCCGGUAGCUAAAUGCGGAAGAGAUAAGUGCUGAAAGCAUCUAAGCACGAAACUUGCCCCGAGAUGAGUUCUCCCUGACUCCUUGAGAGUCCUGAAGGAACGUUGAAGACGACGACGUUGAUAGGCCGGGUGUGUAAGCGCAGCGAUGCGUUGAGCUAACCGGUACUAAUGAACCGUGAGG